RNAcentral lists this small RNA (416 nucleotides) under Arabidopsis thaliana (thale cress). Its description in RNAcentral is "ATSL172150". Lineage: Eukaryota; Viridiplantae; Streptophyta; Magnoliopsida; Brassicales; Brassicaceae. The record is from RNAcentral.
UGUAAUGAACAAAACGAUCAGCAAGAAUUAAAAUGAAUUUUGUAAUGUUAUAUUGAUGGCCACCCACCAUCGAGCCAACCGAGCUUCCACAUGACUGAGUGGCAAGAUUUUUAUGGCGACCUCUGCCUCCACUGAAGCACUAUUGUAACAAUCGACUCUGUGAGAUCCAGUUGACGCUGUAGCGCAUCAACCCCAACCUCUCUCCUGUGGGUCCAUCUGGCCCACAUAUAGGUUAUUGGUGCGCUUGGCGUUCUUCAAACCCAAGAUCUCACUUUUUAACAACUUUUCUACAUGACAAAAUUAAUUGGUAACAGCUUGUCCUCUGAGAAAGUUGUGGACCAGAUCGGUCGAUGCGCUGCAGCGCCAACUGGGUCCCAUAUGACUGGUUGUUACAACUUUAAUGAUCUCUUAACACU